RNAcentral lists this ribosomal RNA (369 nucleotides) under uncultured microorganism. RNAcentral's name for it is "bacterial SSU rRNA". It matches the Rfam family "Bacterial small subunit ribosomal RNA", at positions 9 to 355 of the family's 1533-position model. The record is from RNAcentral.
GAGUUUGAUCAUGGCUCAGGAUGAACGCUGGCGGCGUGCUUAACACAUGCAAGUCGAACGAAGCGCCUUAUUUGAUUUUCUUCGGAACUGAAGAUUUGGUGACUGAGUGGCGGACGGGUGAGUAACGCGUGGGGUAACCUGCCCUGUACAGGGGGAGUAACAAUCAGAAAUGACUGCUAAUACCGCACAAGACCACAGCACCGCAUGGUGCAGGGGUAAAAACUACCGGUGGUACAGGAUGGACCCGCGUCUGAUUAGCUGGUUGGUGAGGUAACGGCUCACCAAGGCGACGAUCAGUAGCCGGCUUGAGAGAGUGAACGGCCACAUUGGGACUGAGACACGGCCCAAACUCCUACGGGAGGCAGCAGU